UGAAAAAUAUUUUUACCCUGUUGAAACAACUUUUAUAAAUGCAGGGGAGGGGGAAAAAUUAAAAGCAAAAUACCCAGAGUUAGUAAGCAAAACUGCAAAAUCGGUAUGCAUGUCCUAUGGUGGAACCCUUUUAUGCCAAGGGUUGGCCUAGUAUGAAAAAUGCAAUCCUCUGGAGUAGGCACCAUACAAUACCUGAUGGAUCCGAUCGACUUAUUGAGAUUCAAUGAAAAGACAUUUUUGAAAAAACUGAAUAAUUGAAGUGACAAGAGACAAUUUGUCCUAACAAAAUGAGGACAAAGUCCGAAUGGAUUGAUUGCUUUGAUUGACACAUAAAAUGAUAUCAAAAUCAAUUUAGUGUGUAAAACUUACUUUUGAAAGGAUUGAAAUGUCUCGACUAGUUUCUUCGGUGAACCAUAGAUCGAAACUUUAAAAGAGAAUAAAUAGGUUAAAUGAAUCGAAUGAAAUUGAUGGUUAGUUCAAAAAUUGACUGAAUUAUCCUGAAAGUGAAUAAAACUGAUCCAAUGGAUUGGAUGAAAUUGAAAAUUUAUUCAAAAAAAAUAAAAUAAAAAUAAAUAAAUAAAAUUGAUUAAAUGAAUAAUGAAUUGAAUGGAAUUGAUGAUUAAUUC
RNAcentral lists this long non-coding RNA (626 nucleotides) under Coffea arabica (coffee). Its description in RNAcentral is "long non-coding RNA (CARA_LNC008310)". The record is from RNAcentral. Lineage: Eukaryota; Viridiplantae; Streptophyta; Magnoliopsida; Gentianales; Rubiaceae.